Molecule: ribosomal RNA, 275 nt
Filed under: uncultured prokaryote
Description: partial 16S ribosomal RNA
Rfam family: Bacterial small subunit ribosomal RNA
Source: RNAcentral
UACGGAGGUGGCAAGCGUUGUUCGGAAUUACUGGGCGUAAAGGGCGCGUAGGCGGCAUGGCAAGUCAGAUGUGAAAGCCCCGGGCUUAACCUGGGAAUUGCAUCUGAAACUGUUGUGCUUGAGUUCUGGAGGGGGUAGUGGAAUUCCCAGUGUAGCGGUGAAAUGCGUAGAUAUUGGGAGGAACACCUGCGGCGAAGGCGGCUACUUGGACAGAUACUGACGCUGAGGCGCGAAAGCUAGGGGAGCAAACGGGAUUAGAUACCCCCGUAGUCCCU